GUGGAAUGAUAAACUUCUUAGCGGCGGAUGGGUGAGUAACGCGUGAGGAACCUGCCUUCCACAAGGGGAUAGCCUCGGGAAACCGGGAUUAAUACCCUAUGAAACUUAGCAAUCGCAUGAUAUUUAAGUUAAAGCGUUAGCGGUGGAAGAUGGCCUCGCGUCCCAUUAGCUAGUUGGUGAGUUAAAAGCUCACCAAGGCGACGAUGGGUAGCCGGCUUGAGAGAGUGACCGGCCACACUGGAACUGAGACACGGUCCAGACUCCUACGGGAGGCAGCAGUGGGGAAUAUUGCACAAUGGAGGGAACUCUGAUGCAGCGACGCCGCGUGAGCGAUGAAGGCCUUCGGGUCGUAAAGCUCUGUCCUAUGGGACGAUAAUGACGGUACCAUAGGAGGAAGCCCCGGCUAACUACGUGCCAGCAGCCGCGGUAAUACGUAGGGGGCGAGCGUUGUCCGGAAUUACUGGGCGUAAAGGGUACGCAGGCGGUCAAAUAAGUCAGAUGUGAAAGGCGUAGGCUUAACCUAUGUAAGCAUUUGAAACUGUUUGGCUUGAGUUAAGGAGAGGAAAGUGGAAUUCCUGGUGUAGCGGUGAAAUGCGUAGAUAUCAGGAGGAAUAUCAGUGGCG
This 623-nucleotide ribosomal RNA is filed under the name Schnuerera sp. RNAcentral describes it as "bacterial SSU rRNA". It matches the Rfam family "Bacterial small subunit ribosomal RNA", at positions 74 to 717 of the family's 1533-position model. Lineage: Bacteria; Bacillati; Bacillota; Tissierellia; Tissierellales; Tepidimicrobiaceae. The record is from RNAcentral.